This 291-nucleotide ribosomal RNA is filed under the name uncultured bacterium. RNAcentral's name for it is "partial 16S ribosomal RNA". It matches the Rfam family "Bacterial small subunit ribosomal RNA", at positions 773 to 1060 of the family's 1533-position model. The record is from RNAcentral.
GUGGAUUAGAUACCCUGGUAGUCCACGCCGUAAACGAUGAGUGCUAGGUGUCACGGGCUUUGACCCUCGUGGUGCCGAAGCUAACGCGUUAAGCACUCCGCCUGGGGAGUACGGCCGCAAGGCUAAAACUCAAAGGAAUUGACGGGGGCCCGCACAAGCGGUGGAGCAUGUUGUUUAAUUCGACGCAACGCGAAGAACCUUACCUGGGCUAGAAAACACGAGAAUCCGGGCGAAAGUUCGGAGUGCCUUUCGGGGAACUCGUGGUUAGGUGCUGCAUGGUCGUCGCCAGCU